CUGAUUUUAACUUUUAGGAAGCCU
RNAcentral lists this non-coding RNA (24 nucleotides) under Rattus norvegicus (Norway rat). Lineage: Eukaryota; Metazoa; Chordata; Mammalia; Rodentia; Muridae. The record is from RNAcentral.